Molecule: ribosomal RNA, 1301 nt
Filed under: metagenome
Description: SSU rRNA
Rfam family: Eukaryotic small subunit ribosomal RNA
Source: RNAcentral
ACCGUGGUAAUUCUAGAGCUAAUACAUGCUUAAACGCCCGACUUUAUGGAAGGGUGGUACUUAUUAGACUGAAGCCAAUAUUCCUUGUGUCUAUUGCGGUGAUUCAUAAUAACUGAUCGAAUCUCUUUUUGAGAUAAAUCAUUCAAGUUUCUGCCCUAUCAGCUUUCGAUGGUAGUGUAUUGGACUACCAUGGCAGUAACGGGUAACGAAGAAUUAGGGUUCGAUUUCGGAGAGGGAGCAUGAGAAACGGCUACCACAUCUAAGGAAGGCAGCAGGCGCGUAAAUUACCCAAUCCUGACUCAGGGAGGUAGUGACAAGAAAUAGCAAACCGGGAACCUCAUGGUUUCACGGUAUUGCAAUGAGAACAAUUUAAAACCCUUAGCGAGAAUCAAGUGGAGGACAAGUCUGGUGCCAGCACCCGCGGUAAUUCCAGCUCCACUAGCGUAUAUUAAAAGUUGUUGCAGUUAAAAAGCUCGUAGUUGAACCUCUGUCUGGGGCUAGUUUUGGCUUUGGUCAGGCUAGUUCUAGGCAUCCGCCUACAAGACUUAGAGGGCAUUCAGUUGUUCACUAGGAGGAGUAGGCAUUUUACUUUGAAAAAAUUAGAGUGUUUAAGGCAGGCAAUCGCCCGCAUAUAUUAGCAUGGAAUAAUAGAAUAGGACACUUUUCCAUUUCGUUGGUUAUUGGAAUCGUGUAAUGAUUAAUAGGGACAGUUGUGGGCAUUUGUAUUUAAUUGUCAGAGGUGAAAUUCUUGGAUUUAUUAAAGACAAACUAACGCGAAAGCAUUUGCCAAGGAUGUUUUCAUUAAUCAAGAACGAAAGUUAGGGGAUCAAAGACGUUCAGAUACCGUCCUAGUCUUAACUAUAAACUAUUCCGACUCAAUGUUUGACUGGCUUAUAUAACCAGUUGAGCGUUGUAUGAGAAAUCAAAGUCUUUAGGUUCUGGGGGGAGUAUGGUUGCAAAGCUGAAACUUAAAGGAAUUGACGGAAGAGCACAACCAGGAGUGGAUUCUGCGGCUUAAUUUGACUCAACACGGGGAAACUUACCAGGUUAAAACAAUAGUGGGAUUGACAGUUUGAGAGCGCUUUCUUGAUUGGUUGGGUGGUGGUGCAUGGCCGUUCUUAGUUGGUGGAGUGAUUUGUCUGCUUAAUUGCGUUAACGAACGAGACCUUAACCUGCUUACUAGACUGGCGAUCAUCAAUCGUUAGCUCUUCUUAGAGGGACUUUGGUUGUUUUAACUCCAAGGAAGUUUGAGGCAAUAACAGGUCUGUGAUGCCCUUAGAUAUCCUGGGCCGCACGCGUCA